This 395-nucleotide ribosomal RNA is filed under the name uncultured bacterium. RNAcentral describes it as "bacterial SSU rRNA". It matches the Rfam family "Bacterial small subunit ribosomal RNA", at positions 505 to 898 of the family's 1533-position model. The record is from RNAcentral.
GUGCCAGCCGCCGCGGUAAUACGGGGGGAGCAAACGUUGUUCGGAAUCACUGGGCGUAAAGGGCGCGUAGGCGGCUCGGCAAGUGGUGUGUGAAAUGCCCUGGCUCAACCAGGGAACUGCGCUCCAAACUGCCGGGCUUGAGGGCAGUAGAGGAAGCUAGAAUUCCUGGUGUAGCGGUGAAAUGCGUAGAUAUCAGGAGGAAUACCGUUGGCGAAGGCGGGCUUCUGGGCUGACCCUGACGCUGAUGCGCGAAAGCUGGGGGAGCAAACAGGAUUAGAUACCCUGGUAGUCCCAGCCGUAAACGGUGAACACUAGGUGUGGGGAGUGUCGACCCUCUCCGUGCCGCAGCUAACGCAUUAAGUGUUCCGCCUGGGAAGUACGGUCGCAAGGCUGAA